RNAcentral lists this microRNA (22 nucleotides) under Heligmosomoides polygyrus. Its description in RNAcentral is "hpo-miR-40f-3p". Its record names the gene hpo-miR-40f-3p. Lineage: Eukaryota; Metazoa; Nematoda; Chromadorea; Rhabditida; Heligmosomidae. The record is from miRBase by way of RNAcentral.
UCACCGGGUGUAUUGUAGUGGA